AGAGUUUGAUCCUGGCUCAGAUUGAACGCUGGCGGCAUGCCUAACACAUGCAAGUCGAACGGAAACGAUGGGAGCUUGCUCCCAGGCGUCGAGUGGCGGACGGGUGAGUAAUACUUAGGAAUCUGCCCAUUAGUGGGGGACAACUCGAGGAAACUCGAGCUAAUACCGCAUACGCCCUACGGGGGAAAGCGGAGGACCUUUCGGGGCUUCGCGCUAUUGGAUGAGCCUAAGUCGGAUUAGCUUGUUGGUGGGGUAAAGGCUCACCAAGGCGACGAUCCGUAGCUGGUCUGAGAGGACGAUCAGCCACACUGGGACUGAGACACGGCCCAGACUCCUACGGGAGGCAGCAGUGGGGAAUAUUGGACAAUGGGCGCAAGCCUGAUCCAGCAAUGCCGCGUGUGUGAAGAAGGCCUGCGGGUUGUAAAGCACUUUCAGUAGAGAAGAAAAGCCUACGGUUAAUAACCGUGAGUCUUGACGUUACCUACAGAAGAAGCUCCGGCUAAC
This 504-nucleotide ribosomal RNA is filed under the name uncultured bacterium. RNAcentral's name for it is "bacterial SSU rRNA". It matches the Rfam family "Bacterial small subunit ribosomal RNA", at positions 8 to 501 of the family's 1533-position model. The record is from RNAcentral.